This 76-nucleotide transfer RNA is filed under the name Caldilineaceae bacterium. RNAcentral describes it as "tRNA-Glu". It matches the Rfam family "tRNA". From Rfam's summary of the family: Transfer RNA (tRNA) molecules are approximately 80 nucleotides in length. Their secondary structure includes four short double-helical elements and three loops (D, anti-codon, and T loops). Further hydrogen bonds mediate the characteristic L-shaped molecular structure. tRNAs have two regions of fundamental functional importance: the anti-codon, which is responsible for specific mRNA codon recognition, and the 3' end, to which the tRNAs corresponding amino acid is attached (by aminoacyl-tRNA synthetases). tRNAs cope with the degeneracy of the genetic code in two manners: having more than one tRNA (with a specific anti-codon) for a particular amino acid; and 'wobble' base-pairing, i.e. permitting non-standard base-pairing at the 3rd anti-codon position. The record is from RNAcentral. Lineage: Bacteria; Bacillati; Chloroflexota; Caldilineae; Caldilineales; Caldilineaceae.
GGCGCAUUCGUCUAGGGGCCUAGGACACAGCCCUCUCAAGGCUGAGACACGGGUUCGAAUCCCGUAUGCGCUACCA